Molecule: transfer RNA, 84 nt
Filed under: Clitoria ternatea
Lineage: Eukaryota; Viridiplantae; Streptophyta; Magnoliopsida; Fabales; Fabaceae
Description: tRNA-Tyr
Source: RNAcentral
UGUCCAGAUUAAUUAUCGUUUUUUUCCAACUUAGUAUGAGAUAUACUUACCUAAUCUUAAGAACGCAUGAAACUGAAAGAAAUG